GGGCCGGCUUUAGCUCAGCGGUUACUUCGUGACUUCAAUUCAUUGAUAACCCAGCCCCUUCGGGGGUUCGAGACCCGCGGGCGCUAUCUGGCCUUUUG
Molecule: vault RNA, 98 nt
Filed under: Terrapene triunguis (Three-toed box turtle)
Lineage: Eukaryota; Metazoa; Chordata; Testudines; Emydidae
Description: Terrapene carolina triunguis (Three-toed box turtle) Vault RNA (ENSTMTG00000017845.1)
Rfam family: Vault RNA
About the family: This family of RNAs are found as part of the enigmatic vault ribonucleoprotein complex. The complex consists of a major vault protein (MVP), two minor vault proteins (VPARP and TEP1), and several small untranslated RNA molecules. It has been suggested that the vault complex is involved in drug resistance.
Source: Rfam by way of RNAcentral